RNAcentral lists this ribosomal RNA (334 nucleotides) under uncultured eukaryote. RNAcentral describes it as "partial 18S ribosomal RNA". It matches the Rfam family "Eukaryotic small subunit ribosomal RNA", at positions 1470 to 1796 of the family's 1831-position model. The record is from RNAcentral.
CCCUUAGAUGUCCGGGGCCGCACGCGCGCUACACUGAAGGAAUCAGCGUGGCUUUCUCCCUGACCCGAAAGGGUUGGGAAACCCGUUGAAUCUCCUUCGUGAUAGGGAUUGGGGCUUGAAAUUGUUCCCCAUGAACGAGGAAUUCCCAGUAAGCGCGAGGCAUAAGCUCGCGUUGAUUACGUCCCUGCCCUUUGUACACACCGCCCGUCGCUACUACCGAUUGAACGGUUUAGUGAGGGCCUCGGAUUGGUCUCGGCCCGCUCUUUACCGGGCGGCGCCGUUGGUCGAGAAGACGCUCGAACUUGAUCGUUUAGAGGAAGUAAAAGUCGUAACA